Paramormyrops kingsleyae is the source of this 717-nucleotide non-coding RNA. The record is from RefSeq and is a predicted model, not a curated record. Lineage: Eukaryota; Metazoa; Chordata; Actinopteri; Osteoglossiformes; Mormyridae.
GAGAGGGAUGUUGUAAUUAGGGAUAAAUGAGGGCAGCGAUCCGCCGGGGUACGCUUCCCCGAUGUAAUUUGUUUUUUAUUGAAUAUAUUUAUCAACAUUAAUUGACUUUCCGAAAAUGAAACUUACCUCGGCUACGCCGCUCUCUCCGCACAAAUUCAAUACGCCGGGAUCACCUAAAGCAGGUGUGCGCCCCCCCCCCUCGGCGGGCGGUGUUUCGCCGCCCCGCGCGGCGGUGUGGCCCAGCAAAAUUGAUCCCGGCUACAGUCGUUCAUUAAUAUCGAUUAUUGGGGAACAUCAUUUGUUUGCGUUAUUUCCGAUGAGAUGGGUGGACAGCAUCUCGGCACGUCUGAGGUGCGGGAGAGUUACGGCCGGAUGCUGAAUUCUUGAAGAGGUUUGCCAGCUGGACCAGAAGCUUGCAGAUUCAUUCCAGAACAGCCACGCAUUUCUGGAGAUAAGACGCCGGUCGAGGCUGAUGAGCAGGGAGAUGCCUGUUCCUUCCGUAGAGAUGCUUGUCUCCCCGACACCGUACCUGCCAGUCUCACAUCCACAGGUGUGAGUCGAAAUUCACUGUCGCUGGCGAGCCCAUCCAGUUGUGCACACUCGCUCAUUUUUAAACAUCCAUUGGUUUGUAAAUCCAGUGUAUGCACCUAAAAUUAUAAACAAUAAAAAAAAAAACGAUGUUUGUGGCUUUACUGGGAUUCCAUUUAUGUGCCCAAG